AUGGUCUGUUGUGGAAGGCGGUCGACGCCGGUGGCCAAGAAGGAAACAUCGAGUAGCUCCAAGGUCGGGCUACAGUUCCACGUUGGCAGGAUCGCCAGAUUCCUCAAGGCCGGCAAGUACGCCGAGCCGCUUAGGCGCUGGUGCCCCCAUCUACCUCGCCGCCGUUCCCCAAGUACCUCGCCGCUGAUGCCCUGGAGCUGGCUGGCAACGCUGCCAGUGCCAGGGACAACAAGAAGACCCAUAUCAUGCAUCGCCACAUCCAGCUCGCCGUGCGCAAUGGCGAGGAGCUAUAUAUCUCAUGUUGGUUGUAGGGAACACAAGACAGACAGGAGCUUUGGAGCAAGUCCGUCCAUGUCGGACCCUUUUCAUUUAUUUAUUUCACGAAUUCCUUUUCAUUUAUUCAUGAGCGUACUUAUGCUACUAUUCUUGUUUGAAAUUCCUUUUAUGUUUGCAUGA
This 456-nucleotide ribosomal RNA is filed under the name Triticum aestivum (bread wheat). RNAcentral's name for it is "partial small subunit ribosomal RNA". Lineage: Eukaryota; Viridiplantae; Streptophyta; Magnoliopsida; Poales; Poaceae. The record is from RNAcentral.